CGUACACUCCUGCGGGAGGCAGCAGUGGGGAAUAUUGCACAAUGGGCGCAAGCCUGAUGCAGCCAUGCCGCGUGUAUGAAGAAGGCCUUCGGGUUGUAAAGUACUUUCAGCGGGGAGGAAGGCGAUAAGGUUAAUAACCUUGUCGAUUGACGUUACCCGCAGAAGAAGCACCGGCUAACUCCGUGCCAGCAGCCGCGGUAAUACGGAGGGUGCAAGCGUUAAUCGGAAUUACUGGGCGUAAAGCGCACGCAGGCGGUCUGUCAAGUCGGAUGUGAAAUCCCCAGGCUCAACCUGGGAACUGCAUUCGAAACUGGCAGGCUAGAGUCUUGUAGAGGGGGGUAGAAUUCCAGGUGUAGCGGUGAAAUGCGUAGAGAUCUGGAGGAAUACCGGUGGCGAAGGCGGCCCCCUGGACAAAGACUGACGCUCAGGUGCGAAAGCGUGGGGAGCAAACAGGAUUAGAUACCCGUGUAGUCCCAUGA
This 479-nucleotide ribosomal RNA is filed under the name uncultured organism. RNAcentral's name for it is "partial 16S ribosomal RNA". It matches the Rfam family "Bacterial small subunit ribosomal RNA", at positions 330 to 800 of the family's 1533-position model. The record is from RNAcentral.